ACGCUGGCGGCAGGCCUAACACAUGCAAGUCGAGCGGUAGAGAGAAGCUUGCUUCUCUUGAGAGCGGCGGACGGGUGAGUAAUGCCUAGGAAUCUGCCUGGUAGUGGGGGAUAACGUUCGGAAACGGACGCUAAUACCGCAUACGUCCUACGGGAGAAAGCAGGGGACCUUCGGGCCUUGCGCUAUCAGAUGAGCCUAGGUCGGAUUAGCUAGUUGGUGGGGUAAUGGCUCACCAAGGCGACGAUCCGUAACUGGUCUGAGAGGAUGAUCAGUCACACUGGAACUGAGACACGGUCCAGACUCCUACGGGAGGCAGCAGUGGGGAAUAUUGGACAAUGGGCGAAAGCCUGAUCCAGCCAUGCCGCGUGUGUGAAGAAGGUCUUCGGACUGUAAAGCACUUUAAGUUGGGAGGAAGGGUUGUAGAUUAAUACUCUGCAAUUUUGACGUUACCGACAGAAUAAGCACCGGCUAACUCUGUGCCAGCAGCCGCGGUAAUACAGAGGGUGCAAGCGUUAAUCGGAAUUACUGGGCGUAAAGCGCGCGUAGGUGGUUAGUUAAGUUGGAUGUGAAAUCCCCGGGCUCAACCUGGGAACUGCAUUCAAAACUGACUGACUAGAGUAUGGUAGAGGGUGGUGGAAUUUCCUGUGUAGCGGUGAAAUGCGUAGAUAUAGGAAGGAACACCAGUGGCGAAGGCGACCACCUGGACUGAUACUGACACUGAGGUGCGAAAGCGUGGGGAGCAAAC
This 745-nucleotide ribosomal RNA is filed under the name uncultured bacterium. RNAcentral describes it as "bacterial SSU rRNA". It matches the Rfam family "Bacterial small subunit ribosomal RNA", at positions 33 to 773 of the family's 1533-position model. The record is from RNAcentral.